UACAGAGGGUGCAAGCGUUAAUCGGAAUUACUGGGCGUAAAGCGUGCGUAGGUGGUUUUUUAAGUCAGGUGUGAAAUCCCCGGGCUCAACCUGGGAACUGCAUUUGAUACUGAAAAGCUAGAGUGUGGUAGAGGAUAGUGGAAUUCCCGGUGUAGCGGUGAAAUGCGUAGAUAUGACUCGGAAGGCCAACGGCGAAGGCAGGUUACUGGUACGCAACUGACGCUGAGGCACGAAAGCGUGGGGAGCAAACAGG
RNAcentral lists this ribosomal RNA (253 nucleotides) under uncultured bacterium. RNAcentral's name for it is "partial 16S ribosomal RNA". It matches the Rfam family "Bacterial small subunit ribosomal RNA", at positions 524 to 776 of the family's 1533-position model. The record is from RNAcentral.